This 1323-nucleotide ribosomal RNA is filed under the name Clostridioides difficile. RNAcentral describes it as "bacterial LSU rRNA". It matches the Rfam family "Bacterial large subunit ribosomal RNA", at positions 1389 to 2723 of the family's 2925-position model. Lineage: Bacteria; Bacillati; Bacillota; Clostridia; Peptostreptococcales; Peptostreptococcaceae. The record is from RNAcentral.
ACCUAUUCCAGAGGCUAGUUUUUAUUUUUUUUUUUUUUUCAAGCAGAAGACGGCAUACGAGAUCAGCCUCGGUCUCGUGGGCUCGGAGAUGUGUAUAAGAGACAGCUGUUGGUUAUGUGUGCCCAAGCAUUGAGGCAGUCAAAGUAGGCAAAUCCGCUUUGAUAAUGCUGGGAUGUGAUGGGGAGCGAAAUUUAGUAGCGAAGUAGCUGAUUUCACACUGUCAAGAAAAGUCUCUAUCGAGGUUAAAGGUACCCGUACCGCAAACCGACACAGGUGGGUGAGGAGAGUAUCCUAAGGCCAGCGAGAGAACUGUUGUUAAGGAACUCGGCAAAAUGACCCCGUAACUUAGGGAUAAGGGGUGCCACCAUCAGGUGGCCGCAGAGAAUAGGCCCAAGCGACUGUUUACCAAAAACAUAGGUUUCUGCUAAGUCGCAAGACGAUGUAUAGGAGCUGACGCCUGCCCGGUGCUGGAAGGUUAAGGGGAUCUGUUAGAGCAAUCGAAGCAGUGAACUUAAGCCCCAGUAAACGGCGGCCGUAACUAUAACGGUCCUAAGGUAGCGAAAUUCCUUGUCGGGUAAGUUCCGACCCGCACGAAAGGCGUAACGAUUUGGGCACUGUCUCAACAACAGACUCGGUGAAAUUGUAAUUCCGGUGAAGAUGCCGGAUACCUGCGACAGGACGGAAAGACCCCAUGGAGCUUUACUGUAGCUUGACAUUGGGUCUUGGUACUACAUGUACAGGAUAGGUGGGAGGCUUUGAAACCAGGACGCCAGUUUUGGCGGAGCCAUCCUUGGGAUACCACCCUUGUAGUACUGGGACUCUAACCAUAGGCCAUGAAUCUGGUCUUGGGACACUGUCAGGUGGGCAGUUUGACUGGGGCGGUCGCCUCCCAAAAGGUAACGGAGGCGCUCAAAGGUUCUCUCAGUACGGUCGGAAAUCGUACGUAGAGUGUAAAGGCAAAAGAGAGCUUGAUUGCAAGACAUACAGGUCGAGCAAGGAUGAAAAUCGGACUUAGUGAUCCGGUGGUUCUGCGUGGAAGGGCCAUCGCUCAACGGAUAAAAGCUACCCUGGGGAUAACAGGCUUAUCUCCCCCAAGAGUCCACAUCGACGGGGAGGUUUGGCACCUCGAUGUCGGCUCAUCACAUCCUGGGGCUGUAGUAGGUCCCAAGGGUUGGGCUGUUCGCCCAUUAAAGUGGUACGCGAGCUGGGUUCAGAACGUCGUGAGACAGUUCGGUCCCUAUCCGUCGCAGGCGUAGGAAAUUUGAGAAGACCUGUCCUUAGUACGAGAGGACCGGGAUGGACGUACCUCUGGUGUACCAGUUG